AAAAUAACAACGCAUAAAUCACAUUCUCGAGACAACACAAUUCGAUACGAGGUACCCCUUUGGAUGUAUCCAUGACCAUUGAAGUUUUCGGACAGAAUGGAGAACAAAAUAAAAACGCACAAUCUUGGGUGCGGUGCUUUCCUUGCCCUCGUGGUUGUGGGAAGGGCCGCAAUGAUUGGUCGUACAU
Molecule: small RNA, 187 nt
Filed under: Phaeoacremonium minimum UCRPA7
Lineage: Eukaryota; Fungi; Ascomycota; Sordariomycetes; Togniniales; Togniniaceae
Description: A. fumigatus sRNA Afu_182
Rfam family: A. fumigatus sRNA Afu_182
Source: Rfam by way of RNAcentral